RNAcentral lists this unclassified non-coding RNA (263 nucleotides) under plant metagenome. Its description in RNAcentral is "partial contains small subunit ribosomal RNA, internal transcribed spacer 1, and 5.8S ribosomal RNA". The record is from RNAcentral.
UUUCCGUAGGUGAACCUGCGGAAGGAUCAUUAUUGUAUAACCGAGGUGCGAGGGCUGUCGCUGACUCGAAAGGUCGUGCACGCCCGAGUGCCCUCACACACAUCCAUCUCACCCCUAUGUGCACCACCGCGUGGUUCCCCCUUUGGCUUGUUCGGAGGGGGGCUUACGUUUUCACACAAACUUUGUAUGCAGUGUAGAAUGUAUUUUUUGUUUUUGCGAUCACGCAAUCAAUACAACUUUCAACAACGGAUCUCUUGGCUCUC